UACGGAGGGUGCAAGCGUUAUCCGGAUUCACUGGGUUUAAAGGGUGCGUAGGUGGGUCUGUAAGUCAGUGGUGAAAUCUCCAAGCUUAACUUGGAAACUGCCGUUGAUACUAUAGACCUUGAAUGCUGUGGAGGUGAGCGGAAUAUGUCAUGUAGCGGUGAAAUGCUUAGAUAUGACAUAGAACACCGAUAGUGAAGACAGCUUACUAGGCUUAUACUGACGCUGAGGCACGAAAGUGUGGGGAUCAAACAGG
Molecule: ribosomal RNA, 253 nt
Filed under: uncultured bacterium
Lineage: Bacteria
Description: partial 16S ribosomal RNA
Rfam family: Bacterial small subunit ribosomal RNA
Source: RNAcentral